Molecule: long non-coding RNA, 1100 nt
Filed under: Monodelphis domestica (gray short-tailed opossum)
Lineage: Eukaryota; Metazoa; Chordata; Mammalia; Didelphimorphia; Didelphidae
Description: lncRNA (ENSMODG00000045118.1)
Source: RNAcentral
UGAAGAAGGAAUUGACUUUAGGCCAAGUUGUCAGGAACUGGUUUAAAUAGGAAGCAACUAAAUAUUCUGAGUCUUUAGCAGGGAAGAGUGCAACCUCACUAGCAGUGACUCUGUGGUGUACUGGGGUUUCUGUUCCUCUCUAUAGGGUGAUGGAUGCCUUCCUUAUAUACCCCAACUGAGAGUACUCUUCAUGUUGCAGCCUUGCAUGGAAGAUUGUGAUCCUUAUUUUAGGUGAGAAAAUCAGAAGUUCUAGAUCAGCAGAAAUAUACCAAAAAAAUUCAUCAAUGCACUUUUAUUUUUGUGAAAGUAAAGACUAGAGUUCAAAUCCUGUCUCAGACUACUGACUGUGUGACCUUGGGCAAGCCCCUUAAACCUGUUUUCUUUAUUGUUUUAUCCAUAAAAUAGGGACUCACACUGGAGAAAGAAAUGGCCAAGAUACUUCGGUAUCUUUGCCAAGAAAAUCCCCAAUGGGAUCAUGAAGAAUCAGAGAGGAUGGAGAUGCCUGAACAACAGCACAGACUAGAAACAAGAAGCCAUUUCCUUGCCCCUCCCAACCAUGGCUGAAUGGAUUUGGAGAACGGAGAGUGAAGGUCCUUUGGAGAGUCUCUCUGGGGAGCCUCAGAUUGUUUGGCCAGGCAGAGUAACUGCCCUGCAUUGGAAUGACUCAACCAUGGGUAAGUGACCGAUUGGACCCAUUUUCCUCACAGGCAGGAAGAAGCUCCCAGACUCAGUGGUAGGGUUUGGUGGGACCAAUAGUUGUUUGGGACCGUGUGAGUUCCCCUUACUCAGAAGAUAGCUGAGCUCCAGCAUCAGUUUAGUUAGGCUUUGGAGAAGGGCAAACAGAACAGCAGCUGAGCAGAGGCAAUUAGGGAGAGAAAAGCUCCUGCAGACAUUUUGCAGUGAGAAUUCAGAGCCUAGAAUCUGGGCGUUGCAGGCUUGGCUCAAGUGCCUUGACCUUUCAUUAAAAAAAACAAACCAACAACAACCACCCAAAACUUGAUGGGUGUGGCCACUACAGAUGGAAGCUGCUGACUAUUGUCCUUUUCUGAGAUCUCUGAAAGGACAAUAAAGGCUUGGAUCCCUUCCUCCCUUCCCUUGUG